Molecule: unclassified non-coding RNA, 390 nt
Filed under: soil metagenome
Description: partial contains 5.8S ribosomal RNA, internal transcribed spacer 2, and large subunit ribosomal RNA
Rfam family: 5.8S ribosomal RNA (bases 3-121)
Source: RNAcentral
GAGAAGAACGCAGCGAAAUGCGAUACUUGGUGUGAAUUGCAGAAUCCCGUGAACCAUCGAGUCUUUGAACGCAAGUUGCGCCCGAAGCCAUUAGGCCGAGGGCACGCCUGCCUGGGCGUCACACGUCGUUGCCCCCCCAUCUACUCCUUCGGGAUUGCGGGGGGCGGAUGAUGGCCUCCCGUGCGCCUCGUCGCGCGGUUGGCAUAAAUGCCAAGUCCUCGGCGACGCACGCCACGACAAUCGGUGGUUGCGAAACCUCGGUUGCCCGUCGUGUGCGGUCGUCGCGCAUCGAGGGCUCGAAAAAAUUGCCGGGCUCCGGCUCGGCUUUCAACGCGACCCCAGGUCAGGCGGGGUUACCCGCUGAAUUUAAGCAUAUCAAUAAGCGGAGGA